This 492-nucleotide ribosomal RNA is filed under the name uncultured bacterium. Its description in RNAcentral is "partial 16S ribosomal RNA". It matches the Rfam family "Bacterial small subunit ribosomal RNA", at positions 29 to 507 of the family's 1533-position model. The record is from RNAcentral.
AGUGAACGCUGGCGGUAGGCCUAACACAUGCAAGUCGAACGGCAGCACAGUAAGAGCUUGCUCUUACGGGUGGCGAGUGGCGGACGGGUGAGGAAUACAUCGGAAUCUACUUUUUCGUGGGGGAUAACGUAGGGAAACUUACGCUAAUACUGCAUACGACCUACGGGUGAAGGCAGGGGAUCUUCGGACCUUGCGCGAUUGAAUGAGCCGAUGUCGGAUUAGCUAGUUGGCGGGGUAAAGGCCCACCAAGGCGACGAUCCGUAGCUGGUCUGAGAGGAUGAUCAGCCACACUGGAACUGAGACACGGUCCAGACUCCUACGGGAGGCAGCAGUGGGGAAUAUUGGACAAUGGGCGCAAGCCUGAUCCAGCCAUACCGCGUGGGUGAAGAAGGCCUUCGGGUUGUAAAGCCCUUUUGUUGGGAAAGAAAAGCAGCAGGUUAAUACCCCGCUGUUCUGACGGUACCCAAAGAAUAAGCACCGGCUAACUUCGUG